AUCCCACUCGCCUCCCCCUCCUCGUCGCCCUCCUCUCUCUCUCUCGCUAACCCCUCUCUCUCCCCAUCGCGCCGGCCGGUUACGGCCAGCUCCGGCCCGCGCGUCUCCCCCGCGACCCCCGCCUCCUCUCCUGCCGUCGCCGCCGCCGGAGAAGCUCGCCUCCGCGCCCACAAGCCUCGGAUUCGGCGGGAUCCGGGACGAGGAGGGGUGGAUGAGACGUGUGAGGAGGAGGAGGAGGAGAGUGUGGGGGCGUCUGGGGAGGAAUAUCCCCGCCGCCUCCUCCGCUCGUGACGCAGGGCCUCGGGCCAUGGGGGCGUUCGUUGCAGGAGCCUCGCCGCUGACCUCCCGUGCGCGGCGCCCGGCCCUGGCAGCGCCAAUCUCCCCUUCACACACAGGCAAGGUCGAACCCCAACACCGAGAAGGUAUCUUGGCACCAAAUCAUCGCGAGAAGAAGGGUAAUAAUAUGAUACCUGUAUGUGGUUGCCCAAAUUCAGAAGUGAACUUUGCUGUAUAUUAGUCAGCAUCUCCUGCAUGACCUUUUAAACUUCAAUGCAGCUGUACAAGGUUUGUGAUGAUUUUUUUCCCAGUUUCGUCUUGAUUUAGACUUUUGUAGUUACACGUGUUAUGUUUGUUCACCAUGCUAAUCAUGAGGGUUUUACAAGAGGAUUUAGACUCACACGAGCUUUCAUUGUAACAGAGCUGCUGAACUUAAACAGAUGUUCUCCCGCAUAUCCAUGCCCGAACUGAAACCUAUAUAAUUUACGCCAUUUAACCAUAGCAAUGUUUCAUCCAUUGAGAGAAUUAAAAAAUUGACAUAAAUUUGCUCACUGCAGAGCCUCCGAACAGGAAACCGGCGGGGAGCAUGCCACCGUAGGGGAAGGGCAGGGGAGACAUGGUGGCGGCUAGCUGGGCCAAGCUGCGAACGCCCAUCGGCGACUUUCGUUGGGGUCCAUACCAUUCUUCCUCCCCUCACUCCGAUGCCAAAACCAGUAGGUGCAGCAAGAAGGUCAAGCAUCGACAGAGGUGCACAUCCGCACAUGGGUGGCGUGAACAGAUGGCUACCCCAAGAUAAUCUGAACUAGCUUGCAGCAUCCGAUGAGAAACCAAGCCAGUUUCUCAGCAUGGCAGAUAACUCUCUAGACAUGAUCAUGUCUCUAGCAAUCGGGUCGUAGUCAGAGCACAACUAAGGUUGGCGCUGCUCAAGUGUUUGCAGCGGGAUCCUCUUCUACAACGGUGAUGACAAGGGCUCCGCUCCCAGUUCAGUCUAUCAACUACACACACAACUCCUGGACCUGCCUUCAGAUUUAAGGCAAGCGCUUCAGUACUUCCUUGUGUUGCAUAGUCACUAGACUGGGUUUUCUUUGAUUCUAUGAUUGGUUUGUUUUCAUCGCAAUGUAUGUGUCCACACAAUCAAAAGGAUCAAGAUAGCUUCACAUAGAUUAGUUAAUUGGCCAGGUACAUACGAAGCUGUGAAUCUAAACAGGACGCACAUACAUCACAACACCAAUAUGUUGUGUGUAACACGACCAUUCCUAACAUACCAUGGUUUGCAUGGUGGAUAACCGAUGUGUGUUAAGAUGAGCAGCAGCACGCUCACACAUUAUCUUUGCCAUUUAAAUAACCAUAUUUGUUCUAUGAAGUUUCUGUUAUAUAUCUCUAUGUCCAUGUACUUCUCAAAAGUUACCUUGGAUGAGAAGCAUUGUUUUGCUGGUCUUUGUGAAGACAAGAUAGGAAGAUCCAUGUUCUUGAUCAAUCAAAUAUGGUCAAAACUGUAGUUUUUUCACCGGUGUAAUCUUAUUAAUAACUUUGACCAAAAGUCCUACAAUCUCAUUAGUAAUCAGGUGUGGACAAAUAUGUUUUCAGUCCAGUUUGAUCUAAUAUAUCCUAUUGAAGCGUACUUUGACCAAACGUCCUACAAUCUCAUUAGUAAUUAAUCAGGUGUGGACAAAUAUGUUUUCAAUCCAGUUUGAUAUGAUAUUUUCAAUUGAAGCAACAAAACCAUCGUAUUUGG
Long non-coding RNA from Triticum dicoccoides, 2011 nucleotides. RefSeq lists it as uncharacterized. The record is from RefSeq and is a predicted model, not a curated record. NCBI's taxonomy places the organism in Eukaryota, Viridiplantae, Streptophyta, Magnoliopsida, Poales, Poaceae. The transcript has 5 exons.